AAUCAACGCUGGCGGCGUGCCUCAGACAUGCAAGUCGAACGAUUAAAGCUCUCUUCGGAGAGUGUAUAGAGUGGCGCACGGGUGAGUAACACGUAAGUAAUCUACCUUUGAGUGGGGAAUAACCCGGGGAAACCCGAGCUAAUACCGCAUAAUGCAGCGGCACCGCAAGGUGACAGUUGUUAAAGGAGCAAUCCGCUUAAAGAGGAGCUUGCGGCAGAUUAGCUAGUGGUAAGGUAAUGGCUUACCAAGGCUACGAUCUGUAUCCGGUCUAAGAGGACGGUCGGACACACUGACACUGAAUAACGGGUCAGACUCCUACGGGAGGCAGCAGUCGGGAAUUUUGGGCAAUGGGCGAAAGCCUGACCCAGCAACGCCGCGUGAAGGAUGAAGUAUUUCGGUAUGUAAACUUCGAAAGAAUAGGAAGAAUAAA
This 430-nucleotide ribosomal RNA is filed under the name uncultured bacterium. Its description in RNAcentral is "bacterial SSU rRNA". It matches the Rfam family "Bacterial small subunit ribosomal RNA", at positions 32 to 453 of the family's 1533-position model. The record is from RNAcentral.